GUAGAGAGUUUAACAGAGAGUUAAGAACAAGAGUAUAUGUAUUUUAACUGUCAUACCAGCCAGUUUGGUUACUUAGAAUUAAAUGGAAACUGUAGCCACCAGAAAAAAAUUUUUCAGAGAAAAUGCAGUAUUUACAUUACAGUCUAGUGAUAACUGCACUGGCCACUCCUCAGAUGGCUACUAGAGGUGCUUUCUGGGGCCGUGCAGCACUGCAAUUAAGUGUCUCCACCCUCUGCAUGGAGACACUGAACUUUCCUCUUAGAGAUUCAUUGAUUUAAUUCAUCUCUAUGAGGAGAUGCUGAUUGGCCAGGGCUGUGUUUGAAUCAUGCUGGCUCUGCCCCUGAUCUGCCUCUUUGUCAGUCUCAGCCAAUUCUAUAGGAAAACAUUGUGAUUGGCUCAGAGAAUCACUUCUGAUGAUGUCAGCCAAGCAGGCAGAUCGGGAGCAGAGCCUGCAGCACCUGCAGACUUAAAUACAAGUAAGAUUUUACUAUAUUCAGGGAGGCAAGAGGGAGCCAGGGGGCUAGUCGGUGGUUUUAACACUAUAGUGUUCCUUUAAUAGAAGAAUUGUAUGUGUGUUAUUUACUAUAUCUAUCUGUUUUCUCAAUAUCAGCUGCUGGACAUAGUAAAAUAUUUCAACAGGUUUGAUCCACUAUAUUGCAAAAUUCCCUUUUGUGAAUAUUAGAGAUAAGGAUUGGCGUAAAACAUCUCCCAGCAUUUUGUCAUUUUUGCAGGAAAGUACUGAAAAUGUAGUUCAACAACAAAUAUGAGUCCAAUGCCUAAAUGCUCCUGACUGACACAUGGUCACAUUGUAAAUUUGCUGGGAUAAUUGUAAAGUUUUAGAAUUAUCAAGAAAAUUUGUGAUUUUACUAUUUCUGAUAACUGAGAAAGAUUUAUUAAGGUGCAACUUCAUCCAGAAAAUAAUUUAGACAGUUAACAUUUUACACAAUGUGUUGGGUCAACCCCCAUUUCUAUGGAUUUGUGUAGUUAUAAGUGUACCUGGGGACAAAACUGCAAAUUAUCCUUUUCCCCAAAAGUAAAAUACAAAUGGUUUGCAGAGUAUGAAUGGGAAAGGAUGGCGCAAACAUUAGGCUAAAUCGGCAUACUCCUAGGAUACUCUAAGGAAAAAAAAAAAAUGGCACAGUAGCCAAGGGACAUUUGGCCUUGUAGGCAAACAAUAUCAGCAGAAUAUGAAUAGAGUAACCUUGUUGUUGUUUUUUUUUUUUUUAGCAGAUUACACCUGAUAGUGCUAUUAAAGAAACACUCUAUGCACCAUAACAACUUAAUUUUAAUAAAGUUGUGAUUGUGCCCAGAUUGGUGCCUUUUAGCAAUGUUUGUGCAAGAACUGCCUUGUGUAUCGUCUGUUAAAAAAGCAAAAAACUGCAGUAUUUUAAUAUUCUUGGCAAUUUGAUUUCAGGUGUAUUAUGUUUGCUAAUUAUAGAGCUUUAAACUGAAGUUUGAAGUAAUUUACAUUUUAAAGUAUUUUCACCGAUAUAUUGUUCUUUAAUGUCUCCUUUCCAAAAAUAUAUAUUUUUAUGUUUUUUGUUAUAGUGACCUGUUUCUCCAUGAAUAAUGGUUAUAAUUAAAUACUAUAGUGUUAGAAAAACAAACAUGUAUUCCUAAAACUAGAGUGACCUACUCAAUGUUUAGGGUACCCUGUCCCCCUCCCCAUGUGAAGGUCAGCCCCAAUUCCCUAAAGCAUGCAGCCAGUCCAGAAUCCUUGGCUGAGAUCAUCAAUCCUGAUGAUCUCAGCCAAUCCAAUGCUUCACCCUACUAGAGCACAUGUGUGGCAAUUAAAUGUUUCUAAGAGACCAUCUGAUUGAAAUAGCCAAAUUUAACUCAGUGUGAUUGCCAUUACAUGCAUUUUAGCCCUGCAAUGUAAACAUUGCUGUAUCUACAAAACACCAAUGCCUUCAGUUGCAGGGUUAAAACAACCGAGGUAUGGCAAUUAAGUAAAGUGGUCUGGAUGCUUAUAGUGUCCCUUUAAGGAGUAGAAUCCCCAUUCUAGUAUUGUAUGAUACAAUAAAAAAAAAAAAAAGAAUAUUAGGACUCACUAGAAAUGAUACAAUGUUGACUUUGUAGAUUAAACUCAUUCUCUCCACAAAAGCUCAUUGCAGUUAUCUCCAAGAAGAAUAUUGUUGUCCCUUUGUUUUAUCAGUAAGAACUUUUCUAAGAAGGCAGCUCUGUCAUUGACAGGCAGUAGCACCCUGUGUCACGUGCAAGCAUGUUUUAUUAGGAUUUUAAUAAAAAUGUAGCUGUCCAUAAUAUAUCCAUAAGAACCAAUAUCUUACGUGUUUUAGAUAUCUGUGUUCUCCACUAUUUAUUUUCAAUGAAAUCAUAAAUGGCGUGUUGGAAUAAAUAGUGUUUUUGGAAUAGAGAGAUGACAUAUUUAUGAAAGUACUAUGAAAGUACUACUCACAUUUAUUAUAUAAUAGAGAAGAAUUAAUUAACGCAGUAUGUGACAAAAAAGAUGGCAAUUUUAGGGUCAGACUAACAAUCACAACUAUUUUUAUGUAUUUAGUGCUCCGUUCCCCAGGGGGUUAAAAACGUAACCGUAAGGCCAGCUUUAUUUAAGCUGAGCAAUUCCAAAAUUGGUCUUCCUUAACCUACAUUUUGGAGGAGUUCUUAUUUAAAAGUUGCGUUCUCAGAACCACCAGAUCUUCCAGACUCAUAUCACUCUGUUGAGCAGUGUAUGAAAAUUAAUACCCAAACUGUGUAGUAUUUCAAUAGUUAAUACCAAGAGAAAUAUUUUAACUAAAUAAAGUCCCCUUAAGGUCUGCUUUAAUUUGUUGAAUUAUCUACAUUCUGUAGUGGCAUCUCUUUUCAUGCUCUGCCCAUCAGCGCAAAAAAGUGACAUGUACCCUGAAUUCAUGGUAGAUCUGUCAGUGUAAAUUAAUACAGGAAGUCAAGUCACGGUACCCCGAAUCCAUGACUAGUGUGUCCCUAAUGGCUUGUUUCUAUUACAUACCCCAUAAUGCAAGAGGUAGCCUUUUAUCUAGUAUUUUAAGGUGCAAUAGAGUAAUUAAAAAAAAAGGCAAAUGUUUACAUUUAUACAGAAAUCAUUAAAAGCGCUGUAUACCAAUCGCUAUUUAUUAAAGAUGUUUCUGUAUACACCCAAGAGUUUCUUGAUAAUAACAAAAUCUUUUUUAAGUUAAAAAAAGAACAAAAAAAUAAUAAUUCACUACUGUAAUGUAAUGUAUAUACAGAUAAAUAUAUAUAAAAUAUCACUGCCUUAAUCAUAAGGAAUACCUACAGGGUUUUUCACUACAAUGAGAAAUCAAAGUGAAAUUCAAAUUUAAGGUUAAAAUAGUCGAGUUUGAAAAAUUCUCUCAGUAAGCUAUUGUAAUAGUUUGGCUACUCUGGCCUUAAAUUUGAGAUUCACGUUUAACUGUAACUUUAUUGAAUAACCCUGAUAAAUUCACUUCAUUGAACAGAGAGAAUUCUUUGGAGGUCGAAGCGGGUUGAAUAAAGUAUUGCUUUUAAAUGCUUUGGACACCUUCACGGCACUUUGAGGUACAGGGGGUGUGGUACAAUUUCUCAAGUAUCCAUGAAAGAGUUAAGCUUUGAUUAAAGAAAUUCAUAUCAAAACAAAAAUGCAUGCUUUCUUUUCAUAGAAUGUUUUUUUUUUAACUUGUCACGACAUCCGUUUAUGCUAGUUUAACCCCUUAAGGAC
This 3670-nucleotide long non-coding RNA is filed under the name Pelobates cultripes (western spadefoot toad). Lineage: Eukaryota; Metazoa; Chordata; Amphibia; Anura; Pelobatidae. The record is from RNAcentral.